AGCAACUUGAAGAGACCACAUAGUGAGCAGAGCGUGGAACAGCAAGGAUUCCAACCCCAGUAGCCCAGCUUUAUAUCUGGAGGAAGCAAGUCUUAGAUUGGGACUGUCAGGCCAGGAAGAAAAGUCAGAGCAUGAACAAAGGCUCUGACGGAGUGAGGACCGUUUUAUAUAUGUUGAGGUAAACCAGGUGGAUUUCCGUUUUGGAGGAAAUUGGGAAGUCAGGCUUGGGUAGAGAGUGGUAUGUUUGGAGGGCGUGAAAUAUUUUGUGCAUCUGUAUUUUGUGCAGGUGUAUUCCACCUGUGGUGGAAUCUUGUGGCUCAGAAAGAACGAACCUCCCUCAGGUAAUGCUAUUAAGAAAUGCCAAAGAGAAUUAGAACCAGAGUCUACCUAACCCCCUUCUCAGAAGAAAUUGUUCAGGUUUUAGCACUGAAAGUCUUACAUCUUGGAAAACUGCACCGUCCCCAGUUUUAAUGCUAAAAGUCCCUCAUCCUGGGAAAUCCCUUAGUUGUGGUUUUAGCACUGACAGUCCUGCUUCCUAGGAAACUCCUUACUUCUGGUUUUAGCCCUGAACGUCCCCAAACCCCUUAGUCCUUAACAAAUCUGGAUUUGAUCCACCUACGCUUCUAUUGGAACAGAUCCUAGAUCAGGAGCACAGGCUGGGUGGCCAUAGCAUGGACCCCCAAAAAGCCACUGUCAUGAAGAAAUAUUCUGUGAAGAAAAUCUUUGCAGGGCAUUUGAACUCCCAAAGCCACUGAGGAGAAGGUAAGGGAGUACUUUGGUGAGUUUGGGGAGGUGAGUUUCUCCCCAGGAUAUGGUUUAUUGUUCCCCAGCAGCCACCAGUGGAUGCUUUUUUCUUUCUUCCUUCAUCAGUGGAGCUGCUUUCUCCUCCUUUCUUGCCUUUGGAGGGCCGUCUUUUCUGAGUUCCCUUUAGGGCCUGAGCCAGGGAAAGGCAUUGGCCCUGAGCUUUGCCUGUGUUUCCAGAUGGAGGCCAUUGACCUUUCAGUGGAUCUGAAGUCUAACAAAAGACAAUGUCUUAUUUUCAUCACACCCCAAAGAAGAGGAAUCUGUGAGAAAUAUUGUGGAGAAAUUUAACACUAUCAGUGGAAGCAAGGUCAGAUGAGAAUGAUUAUAAUAUCAAUGCAACCAUGAUCCCAUCACUGAAGAAGGCGGCUAAACAACUAUGUAAUUUUGAUGAUGGAUGGAAGGACACAUACUAUUGAACUAGGAAGGUAAAUAACCAAACAGAGCAUACUGCAUCAUAUGCAGAAAAAAAUUUGAGAUUGGACAUGGUGGAGAAGGGGAUGUGCAAGCACAUGUGGAGAGCAAAUCUCACAAGUAGGAUGGGAUGGGUGAAUGUUUCUAAACCAAUGGAAAAUACUUUUGUUUCCCAAAAGACACCAAUGUUCAGUCAAAAAUAGCAACUGCUGAAUUAGCAUGGGCAUACCAGGCAAACAAGCAUGAAUUGUCAUAGCGUUCCUUUGAUUGCUCUAUGAAAUUGAGUAAAGUUUCGUUUCCUGAUUUAAGAAUUGCAGCUAAAAUACCCUCUGCACAAAGAAGAGGGGAAAUUUUGAUAACAAAUGUGUUGGUCCCUUACAGUGUAAAGCGAAUUUCUGUCAUACCUCACCAACAAUUCUGGUUUCUAUAGUACAUCAGUUUUAAGUAAUAUGCUGAAUCAUGGCAGCAAAAAUAUGUUUCCUCCAGCUGUUAGGUACUUUGACUUGAAAACAGAAGUUUCAAAUCAUCUUCUUCAUUUCUAUGAGGAUUUUAAUGAAACUGCUGAAAUCAUAAAAUAUUGUUGAUAUUUGUCUAAAUACAAACUAGACGUAGCUCAUCUAUCUGCAUAUUUGUCAGACAGUACAGAUGUAAAUUUUGGCAAAUUCUAUUCAGUCUAUAAACUUCUUACCAAAGAAAAUGAAAAGAUCUUAUUCAUUCAAUGCCUUGUACAUCUUAUAUACAGCACUGCUAAAAAGGGAUGUGAGUUGCUUAAAUGUGAUAUUGAGACUUUCAUAAUGAAAGCUUUUGGUUACUUUUCAAUUUCCUCAAAAAGUGCUGAAGCACUUAAGGAGAUUUUUGACUUCACAGAAAUGGAGGGUGAUAACCUCUUUAGAUGUGUGCCUACAAGAUGGCUGUCAUUGCAGCGAGCCAUAGAAAAGAUGCUAAAAUGUUGGCCUGCCAUAAGACCAUAUUUUCAAAGGACAAGAAUAAUGUCCUUUGACAUUGUUUGGGAUCUGAAAGAAGAAAAAAAUCCAGAAUCUGAAGUGGGCCUUAAAAAAAUCAGUAAGUCCCUUGUGACUUUGAUUUUUAUGAAUCUGUCUCUCAAAAGCCAGGGUGCCCCUGGAAGAACUGAGACAAACUGAGUUUCUGAACAUUUGAAAAUGAGGAGCAGGCUCAAGAUCCACAGGGUGUAAUGUAACCAUCCCGUGAGGCCCUGCCUUAGCAGCCAGUCAGUGCGGCUCUUCGCCUUCUUUCCCUUUCUCGGAUUCCACCUAUGUACAACUUAUGAAAACUUGCAUUACUAUAGACUGGGAGUUUUUAAAUUGGAAUCUGUGAAUCUAAAGGGACCAGAGGAUAGAAAUCAGGAAAUCUGAAAACUUCAAUGGAGAAAAGUUUUCAUUUCUUUCCGUCAGGAAAAUAGGCAACAAACCACAGCAGUAUUAGUACCUGUGUCUCUGUCGUCACUAGGAAUCACAGAUAUCCAUGUUACAGAUAUCUUAAAAUAUUUAUGUACAGCACCACUUUGAAAUUAUGGUAAUAAUUAGAUCCACCCCCUAGGUCUUGUAAUCUUUAAUAUGUUAAUAAAGAAACACAUCUAUUAUAUGACAGAUUUAAA
This is a non-coding RNA of Chlorocebus sabaeus (green monkey), 2830 nucleotides long. The record is from RefSeq and is a predicted model, not a curated record. Lineage: Eukaryota; Metazoa; Chordata; Mammalia; Primates; Cercopithecidae.